UUCAAACAUAGUCUGUGAAAAAUGGUGUAAUUUGAUUUUUGUCCGGACUAAAAAAGUUAAAUAUUUUAUUGAUCAACCCAACUAUUCGCCUGAUUCAGUUUGUCAUCAAUCAGAUGAUCCAAUUGAUGUAACAUUUUUGAGCAAAUGGCUUCCAAAUUUAAGGAUUGCCGACCUUUUAUACACACGCAAUGGGGAAACACCAAUCGAAGAUAUUAUUAAACUAAUUAGAGACUCAGUAUCUUUGAAAGGAAUAAUCUAUGGUUGUCAUUACUGUAUGGAAUCCUGCUCAUGAUUUCGAGUCGAUACCGGAAAACCCUAACCUCGAAAUGUUAUCUACUGGAUAUAUUGAUCUAAACAUAAAGGAAAUCAAUGAAAAUAUGAAACAAUUGUACCUAUGGGACUCAACUCUAGAUGUAUUCGCAGAAGUCGCACAUCAUUUUCCAAAUCUUGAACGGUUUAAAAUUUAUAAUGGCGAAGGUAACUUCAUUUACAAAAAAUCGAGGAUUUUUUUGCAAAAACUAACAAAAAUUCUAUCAAAUCUCUGGCUCACUAACUUUCUUGCCAAAUCUGGCAACUCCUUAUACUUUAAUACACAAAAACUUAGUUAAUUAGCUAACGGAGUAAUGUUUGCAAAAAAUAAACUUAAAGGCAUGUUUAAUUAUCGUUUAUAAGCCUCGAAUAUUCAUUAAAAGUUGUUAUCUCGAUGUUAUUUUUUCCGACUUCCAAACGCGUUUUUCAUGCCUUAAGUCCGCACUGGGAAAUUUAUGCCUCUGGGGACUUUUACUUGUUUAUAUGUCCUCUAUCGAAUGGCACUAUCAAAUAGCUGGCUCACAAUGGGCAGUUUUACAUAGGCUUUCUG
Molecule: non-coding RNA, 859 nt
Organism: Tetranychus urticae (two-spotted spider mite)
Lineage: Eukaryota; Metazoa; Arthropoda; Arachnida; Trombidiformes; Tetranychidae
Source: RefSeq, a predicted model, not a curated record